This 468-nucleotide ribosomal RNA is filed under the name uncultured bacterium. Its description in RNAcentral is "partial 16S ribosomal RNA". It matches the Rfam family "Bacterial small subunit ribosomal RNA", at positions 28 to 508 of the family's 1533-position model. The record is from RNAcentral.
GACGAACGCUGGCGGCGUGCUUAACACAUGCAAGUCGAACGGAAAGGCCCUGCUUUUGUGGGGUGCUCGAGUGGCGAACGGGUGAGUAACACGUGAGUAACCUGCCCUUGACUUUGGGAUAACUUCAGGAAACUGGGGCUAAUACCGGAUAGGAGCUCCUGCUGCAUGGUGGGGGUUGGAAAGUUUCGGCGGUUGGGGAUGGACUCGCGGCUUAUCAGCUUGUUGGUGGGGUAGUGGCUUACCAAGGCUUUGACGGGUAGCCGGCCUGAGAGGGUGACCGGCACUAUUGGGCUGGAGCUACGGCCGGGCCUCCUCCGGGGGGAGGCGGUGGGGAUUUUUGCACAAGGGGCGGAGCCUGGAUGCAGCACCGCCGCGUGGGGGAGGGCGGCCUGCGGUUUGUAACCCGCUUCCGCCGGUGCCGAAGGGGGAGGGAGGGUAAGGGGAAAAGAGCCCCGGCCAAACCCGGUC